RNAcentral lists this ribosomal RNA (442 nucleotides) under uncultured bacterium. RNAcentral describes it as "partial 16S ribosomal RNA". It matches the Rfam family "Bacterial small subunit ribosomal RNA", at positions 338 to 795 of the family's 1533-position model. The record is from RNAcentral.
CCUACGGGUGGCAGCAGUAGGGAAUCUUUCACAAUGGGCGAAAGCCUGAUGGAGCAACGCCGCGUGCAGGAUGAAGGCCUUCGGGUUGUAAACUGCUUUUAUAAGCGAGAAAUAUGAUGGUAACUUAUGAAUAAGGAUCGGCUAACUACGUGCCAGCACCCGCGGUCAUACGUAGGAUCCGAGCAUGAGCCGGGGUGACGGGUGGUAAAGAGUUGCGUAGGUGGCAUAAUAAGUAGCUAGUGAAAUCUGUUGGCUCAACCAUUCAGACUAUUAGCUAUACUGUUAAGCUCGAGACUGUUAGAGGUAACUAGAAUUUCAGGUGUAGGAGUGAAAUCCGUAGAGAUUAGAAGGAACACCAAUAGCGUAGGCAGGUUACUGGGACGGUUCUGACACUCAGGCACGAAAGCGUAGGGAGCAAACGGGAUUAGAUACCCUAGUAGUC